RNAcentral lists this ribosomal RNA (253 nucleotides) under uncultured bacterium. RNAcentral describes it as "partial 16S ribosomal RNA". It matches the Rfam family "Bacterial small subunit ribosomal RNA", at positions 524 to 776 of the family's 1533-position model. The record is from RNAcentral.
UACGGAGGGUGCAAACGUUGCUCGGAAUCAUUGGGCGUAAAGCGCACGUAGGCGGCUUGUUAAGUCGGAUGUGAAAGCCCCAGGCUCAACCUGGGAAGUGCAUUCGAAACUGGCGAGCUUGAAUAUGGAAGAGGGUCGCGGAAUUCCCGGUGUAGAGGUGAAAUUCGUAGAUAUCGGGAGGAACACCAGUGGCGAAGGCGGCGACCUGGGCCAAUAUUGACGCUGAGGUGCGAAAGCGUGGGGAGCAAACAGG